Molecule: ribosomal RNA, 237 nt
Filed under: Triticum aestivum (bread wheat)
Lineage: Eukaryota; Viridiplantae; Streptophyta; Magnoliopsida; Poales; Poaceae
Description: partial small subunit ribosomal RNA
Source: RNAcentral
AUGGUGCUCCAGAACGACAUCGACCUGCUCAACCCGCCGAAGGAGCUCGAGAAGCUCAAGCACAAGAAGAAGCACCUCGUCCAGUCCCCCAACUCCUUCUUCAUGAUCUUGAGCAUCUGGGACCAGGCAGACAUUGUCAAGGUCAGCGAGGUCGAGCUCAAGGACACAACGGCAGCAGCAGCAGCAAGGUUCGCCCCGCCUCUCGAUUUCAUCUUCUUCCACUCCAUUGCCUGCUGA